RNAcentral lists this ribosomal RNA (1490 nucleotides) under Lactiplantibacillus plantarum. RNAcentral describes it as "bacterial SSU rRNA". It matches the Rfam family "Bacterial small subunit ribosomal RNA". The record is from RNAcentral. Lineage: Bacteria; Bacillati; Bacillota; Bacilli; Lactobacillales; Lactobacillaceae.
GACGAACGCUGGCGGCGUGCCUAAUACAUGCAAGUCGAACGAACUCUGGUAUUGAUUGGUGCUUGCAUCAUGAUUUACAUUUGAGUGAGUGGCGAACUGGUGAGUAACACGUGGGAAACCUGCCCAGAAGCGGGGGAUAACACCUGGAAACAGAUGCUAAUACCGCAUAACAACUUGGACCGCAUGGUCCGAGUUUGAAAGAUGGCUUCGGCUAUCACUUUUGGAUGGUCCCGCGGCGUAUUAGCUAGAUGGUGAGGUAACGGCUCACCAUGGCAAUGAUACGUAGCCGACCUGAGAGGGUAAUCGGCCACAUUGGGACUGAGACACGGCCCAAACUCCUACGGGAGGCAGCAGUAGGGAAUCUUCCACAAUGGACGAAAGUCUGAUGGAGCAACGCCGCGUGAGUGAAGAAGGGUUUCGGCUCGUAAAACUCUGUUGUUAAAGAAGAACAUAUCUGAGAGUAACUGUUCAGGUAUUGACGGUAUUUAACCAGAAAGCCACGGCUAACUACGUGCCAGCAGCCGCGGUAAUACGUAGGUGGCAAGCGUUGUCCGGAUUUAUUGGGCGUAAAGCGAGCGCAGGCGGUUUUUUAAGUCUGAUGUGAAAGCCUUCGGCUCAACCGAAGAAGUGCAUCGGAAACUGGGAAACUUGAGUGCAGAAGAGGACAGUGGAACUCCAUGUGUAGCGGUGAAAUGCGUAGAUAUAUGGAAGAACACCAGUGGCGAAAGGCGGCUGUCUGGUCUGUAACUGACGCUGAGGCUCGAAAGUAUGGGUAGCAAACAGGAUUAGAUACCCUGGUAGUCCAUACCGUAAACGAUGAAUGCUAAGUGUUGGAGGGUUUCCGCCCUUCAGUGCUGCAGCUAACGCAUUAAGCAUUCCGCCUGGGGAGUACGGCCGCAAGGCUGAAACUCAAAGGAAUUGACGGGGGCCCGCACAAGCGGUGGAGCAUGUGGUUUAAUUCGAAGCUACGCGAAGAACCUUACCAGGUCUUGACAUACUAUGCAAAUCUAAGAGAUUAGACGUUCCCUUCGGGGACAUGGGUACAGGUGGUGCAUGGUUGUCGUCAGCUCGUGUCGUGAGAUGUUGGGUUAAGUCCCGCAACGAGCGCAACCCUUAUUAUCAGUUGCCAGCAUUAAGUUGGGCACUCUGGUGAGACUGCCGGUGACAAACCGGAGGAAGGUGGGGAUGACGUCAAAUCAUCAUGCCCCUUAUGACCUGGGCUACACACGUGCUACAAUGGAUGGUACAACGAGUUGCGAACUCGCGAGAGUAAGCUAAUCUCUUAAAGCCAUUCUCAGUUCGGAUUGUAGGCUGCAACUCGCCUACAUGAAGUCGGAAUCGCUAGUAAUCGCGGAUCAGCAUGCCGCGGUGAAUACGUUCCCGGGCCUUGUACACACCGCCCGUCACACCAUGAGAGUUUGUAACACCCAAAGUCGGUGGGGUAACCUUUUAGGAACCAGCCGCCUAAGGUGGGACAGAUGAUUAGGGUG